UUGAAGCCGAUGACGGCGUUCCGUUUGACGGCAAACAUGGCGCCCGAGCAGCACCGGCGGCGGAUGGCGAGAGAGGGGAGCUGCUGUGCGUUCACCUCGUUACCAGCCAAGUCCUCCCUCACCACCUGCUGCAGUCACAGCCAACACCUGCAAAUGUCACCCGAAGCAACGGUGCCAGCCCACAGCACAGGUUGGGGCUAUAAGGUCCCUUCCAACCCACAGCAUGGGUUGGUGGGGCUGUAAGGUUCCAUCCAACCCACAGCACAGUUUGGGGCUCUAAGGUCCCUUCCAACCACCAGCACAGGUUGGGGCUGUAAGGUACCUUUCAACCCACAGUAUGCAUUGGGACUAUAAGGUUCCUUCCAACCCAUAGCACAGGUUGGGGCUAUAAGGUUCUUACCAACCUAUAGCAUGGGUUGGUGGGGCUCUAAGGUCCCUUCCACCCCACAGCAUGGGUUGGUGGGGCUGUAAGGUUCAAUCCAACCCACAGCAUGGGUUGAUGAGGCUCUAAGGUUCCUUCCAACCCACAGCACAGGUUGGGGCUGUAAGGUACCUUUCAACCCACAGUAUGCAUUGGGACUAUAAGGUUCCUUCCAACCCACAGCACAGUUUGGGGCUGUAAGGUUCUUACCAACCUAUAGCAUGGGUUGGUGGGGCUCUAAGGUUCCUUCCAAGCCACACAACAGCUUGGUGGGGCUCUAAGGUUCCUUCUAACCCACAGCACAUGUUGGGGCUAUAAGGUCCCUUCCAACCCACAGCAUGGGUUGGUGGGGCUGUACGGUCCCUUCCAACACACAACAUGGGUUGGAGGAGCUCUGAGGUCCCUUCUAACCCACAGCACAGGUUGGGGCUCUAAGGUUCCUUCCAAUCCACAGCAUGGGUUGGUGGGGCUGUAAGGUCCCUUCCAACCCACAGCACAGGUUGGGGCUGUAAGGUUCUUUCCAACCCAACAAGGCUUGGUGGGGCCAUAAGUUUCUUUCCAACCCAAGCUGCUCUAGGAGUCGAGAUUCUUUACCCCCAGCUCCAUCCCCACCAUUGUGAAUAGGCCAGGAGCAAUGGCAUGGUGCUGCAGUGAGGCAAAGCUCCUGGUGCAGCUCAAUGGAUUUCUGUGCCCAACGACAGGCAGGAUGCUGGAAAUUGGAUCCCUGAGGAAUCAUCCGUUCUGGCUGACCCCUCAGGAGGGGUUUUCUCUGCAGGAAGGGCUGUGGUGCUGCACAGUCCAAAGGCCACUGAAUACCUGGCGUGGGUGCAGCUGUGGACCAAAGGAAACUGACGUCAGCCUGAGGCUGCUAUGGGGGCUGGACUCUGGUUUACCUUUGGAGCGUGGGCUCAGCCCCAAAACCUCGAGGAGAGGGAAAGUGGAAAGCAAACGGCCCCACAAAUGGACAAGGAAAACACCUGAAACCCCGUCCCAACCCAUGGGGAUGGUGGUGUGUGGGAUGGAGGGGAACUCCAGCUGUGGAGAUAAAAUACCAGAUGUAGGUGGGAAACCCCACAGAGCCCCUCAGGCUGAUCUUCCUCUUCCAGACAAGCAGAAAGGACCCAAUGUGAAGAACUCAAUGUGAAGGUGAUUUUGGAGUUUCAUCUGGAGUUUCACCACCCACUGACAGAGGAGGAAGCUACAAGUGAGCUCAGGGUGCAGCCCCAUCCUAAAAGAUCCCCAGACUAAAAGAACAGCUUCAAUGCAUGAACCCCACAGAUCCUCUGCUCUGCUGCCUACUCCUUCAAGCAAGACCAAGCAACACCAGGAUCUGGAAGGAGAAAUCCCACGCCAGAGCCCUCCCUGUGGCCCCAAGGAAUGUGUCCUUGUUGGGAAAUGAAUUCUUGGCACUGGGAGCAAUAACAGAAAUGAGCUCAACUCGCUCCAGCAGCUCAGGGCAGCGCCCAGCACAUAUUUCCCCAGCAGUGCCAAGCUCUAAAAGCACAAACAAACACCGGCACAUACUUGGCACCCAGCUGGAACAGCGUGUCCCUGUGCAAACACCCGGCUCCUGCUUUGAAGUGGGAGCGAGGGGAUGACUAAAUGGGGGAAAGGGGAGCAGGAUGGCUGCUGAUGGGAUGACGGGGCUGUGGGGAGGGUCGGCGCAAUGCUUUGAACCUCAGUGACGCCAGCAAGUGGAGGAAGCAAUGUGUGACAUCAGGGUUGUUGGUGAUGUGGGCAAGUAAAGGCUGCAGGCUCAGCCCCAGUGAAGGGACAGAGGGGCAGCUCUGGAGGGAACCAGGAGCCCCUGGCACAGGGCAGGGAAAGGAAUGGAGAUCUGUUCUUACACCCCAAAGAAACCCCUUUGGGGCUCACGGAGCACCAAAACCACCCUUGGAUACCUGGUGUAGAACACAAGACUUUCCUCCUGCUGGCUCACUGCAACCUGUCAGCCUCAUCCUCACAACAGCCACACUCAGGAGCAGAGGACAAAGGUGCAAACGGCCCUAAAAACCAAAGGCAGAUUCCAUUAUGCCCUGCCCAGCAAGCAACAGACGUGGGCACAUUGUCAGCAUGGGGACACUGCCCUGCUGCUCCAGGGACAGAACAGACGUCACCCACAGCAAGUUACGGCCGUUUGACUGAACUUCUGUUGCUGGUUCUCAUCCUGUGUUGUCACAAUCGCUUCCUCCCCGCUGCGCAAACACGAAUGGCAUUUCCAGCCCAGCAGAGACGACGUGCUCACAGUCAGUCGUGCCCUCCCUGCCCCCAGUGGGCACAGACAGCAGCACAGGGGCAGCCCAAAGCUGCAAAGGCUGCUUUAGCAUUUUUCACUAUUUUUCCUCUUUUUUUUUAAAAGCACAGCACGCUGGAAAAGAGGACGAGAUGAAGAUGUAAAAAAUUAUAUAUAUAUUUGUAUAUACGAUUCGUAUCUAUUUACAACUGCAGCUGGGACCAACAGCAGAGCAUCCAAGCAGGCUGCACGGCCGGGCAGUGCAGGGCUGGGCCCAUCCCUGCCACAAAGUCCAUGGGGCCACAGCCCAGGGUCACUGAUAAACCACCUGACAGCAGCUGUACGAGCACAGCAUCAUUCCCUGCUCACAGCAGCAUGAAGUGCAAUGCCAAAGUGAAGCUCUGUGACCCAGCCAGGAUCAGAUGUGAGGGAAGCAGUGCAUCCAUCACCCACUGCCUCCCUCCUUUGUUUGCUGCUGAUCCAAUACAGCUCCCUAAAAGCCACAGGGCUGCUCCACCUCCACAGCUGGGUUUAAACCUGACUUGGACUCGGUGCUGUCCUGGCACAAACCUCAACCCAAGGCCCCAUCGAACAGCCCAUACCUGGAGCUGCUUCAGCAGCACCACGUGGGCACCGCGUGCACCCCACUGUGCUGCAGCCACCACGCUGACCUCAUUCUGUUUGCUCCUUUCGAGCCUGAAACAAAAAGGCGAGAAAAAGAAAGAG
Molecule: non-coding RNA, 3380 nt
Organism: Coturnix japonica (Japanese quail)
Lineage: Eukaryota; Metazoa; Chordata; Aves; Galliformes; Phasianidae
Source: RefSeq, a predicted model, not a curated record